AGGACUUUAUGUUAUAACUUAAUUAAGAAAAUAAGAUGUAUUAAUGGUUAAAUAGAUUAUGGUGAUGAUAUUGUUGAAAAGGGAAGCAUAUAUAUAUACGUGGUGGGGUAGGAAGCUAAAGAAGUAGGGGGGGGAAAGGACUAGUACUACGAUGAAAGUGCAAGAAAAGUACAUGGGUUGUGAUUGUGAAAAAUUGAGUAAGGACAAAUAUAAGAAAAUCUCCGGCGAGUAGUGAUCUUAAUUAAGCAAUGGAUUUGGGUUAAUCUCCGGCGAGUAGUGAUCUUAAUUAAGCAAUGGAUUUGGGUUUGGUAUAAUAAUACGGUGAUGAGAGACAAUCAUACAUGCCCUGUUGUUUUAGUUGAUGUAAAUGUUUAAGAGAUGAUGUCGAAUAAACAAUGUUGUUCCUCAAGGGUAGGGGUUUUUGUCCCUUUUGUUUUGAGGGUAUGAACUGAACUCCUUCGGUCCCAUACGUAUUCGAUAUAAAGGGUACAAUGCUUGUGACAUGCAUGUGAUAAAGCAUGAGCGAUAUUUGGUAUCUUUCGUUGUUCGUUUAUUUUGGUCAAACCUAUUCCAACUCACUUCGACUUCAAGUGGAGAAUAGUAUAGGGAUAUCACACCCCUUGCCCCCCGAUUCAAUUAUCAAUUUCUUACUUUCUUCUUCUUUUUCUAUUCAGAUACAAAUUUAUUAAUAUUUCCCUCUGCCUCAAUCUUCACAUUUUUCAUAAUCAUUUCAUCAUAUAUAACAUCCUAUUUAAAUAAUAACACUAAGUAACUCGUUUUUCAUUUAGUUUAUCAGAUAAUAUCUCCUUAGAUCAUUAUAAUACGGUUUAUUAAGAGUUAGAACAAAUUUUGGAAAAGGUUUCGUUGGAUAUAUAUGUGUGUAUGAAGUAGCAUUUUUCUUUUCAAUGGCCAAGACAAGUGUUAUUAAUGGGCACAAGAGGUGCCACUCAAUUCACCAAUUAAAAAUUGAAAAGUUUUUCCCU
Molecule: long non-coding RNA, 983 nt
Filed under: Vigna radiata
Lineage: Eukaryota; Viridiplantae; Streptophyta; Magnoliopsida; Fabales; Fabaceae
Description: long non-coding RNA (VRAD_LNC006128)
Source: RNAcentral